RNAcentral lists this long non-coding RNA (505 nucleotides) under Pan troglodytes (chimpanzee). RNAcentral's name for it is "long non-coding RNA NONPTRT012736". Lineage: Eukaryota; Metazoa; Chordata; Mammalia; Primates; Hominidae. The record is from RNAcentral.
GGGGAUUUAGUUUACAGCAUAUGACCUUUGGGGAACACACUUAAACCAUAGUGCCAUCUUCAGUCUGAGAAGAAUUUCUGUCUUUCAUUGAAGUUCCAAAGGCUUCUUAUUUUGAUGACUUUGCCUAAAGAAGGGAUUCUACAGCCAAAUGCUUUCUUUUUAACAUACCGAAUGAGUAAAAGUGCAAAAUAAGUACAGAACUAUCAAACAGCAACAAAUGUGCUUCUGCUGCCUACCACAGAAUUUUCCUUGGUGAGAAGAAAACCCUACAUUACAUUUCUUUUUGGCUUCUGUCUCUGCAGCCUCAGAGUUGAUGACGAAUGCAGUCCUGCUCCACUUUGAUUCCAUCUGGCUCUGGAAGGUGUUUCUGAAGAUUUGUGAACAGCAUUUGGAUUUGUUUGUUUUUAUUUAUAUUGUCUUUUUACUAUGAUGUAUAAAUAUGUCCUGUAAUGUCAUUGAUUUAUAUCAUGAGUGAGACAAUCAAGUGUUAAAAUGGAACUUGUUG